UAGACCAUAUCAGCAGGUAUUAAAGCAAAAGA
This 32-nucleotide non-coding RNA is filed under the name Mus musculus (house mouse). The record is from RNAcentral. Lineage: Eukaryota; Metazoa; Chordata; Mammalia; Rodentia; Muridae.